GCACUGAAAGCACAGAACACACACUCGAAAUCUUGCUAUCUUUCUGUGUUUCUUAGAGCUCAAAACUGCUAGUUCUCCUCUUUCUAUUCUUCAAGUUUGAGUUGUAAAGAGAGGAGAGAAAACUUCUGUAAGGGUUGUCUCCUAAGCCCGCCAAAAGGAGUGAAUCUGUAAGAGGGUGGUUGGCCUUCGCCUAUUGAAGGAAGGC
This 205-nucleotide long non-coding RNA is filed under the name Musa acuminata (dwarf banana). RNAcentral's name for it is "long non-coding RNA (MACU_LNC000658)". The record is from RNAcentral. Lineage: Eukaryota; Viridiplantae; Streptophyta; Magnoliopsida; Zingiberales; Musaceae.